CAGCCGCCACGGGAAUACGUAGGGUGCGAGCGUUAAUCGGAAUUACUGGGCGUAAAGCGUGCGCAGGCGGUUCGUUAAGACAGAUGUGAAAUCCCCGGGCUUAACCUGGGAACUGCAUUUGUGACUGGCGAGCUAGAGUAUGGCAGAGGGGGGUAGAAUUCCACGUGUAGCAGUGAAAUGCGUAGAGAUGUGGAGGAAUACCGAUGGCGAAGGCAGCCCCCUGGGCCAAUACUGACGCUCAUGCACGAAAGCGUGGGGAGCAAACAGGAUUAGAUACACCUGUAGUCCCUGUCUCUUAUAC
RNAcentral lists this ribosomal RNA (301 nucleotides) under uncultured bacterium. Its description in RNAcentral is "partial 16S ribosomal RNA". It matches the Rfam family "Bacterial small subunit ribosomal RNA", at positions 509 to 807 of the family's 1533-position model. The record is from RNAcentral.